This is a long non-coding RNA of Cimex lectularius (bed bug), 767 nucleotides long. RefSeq lists it as uncharacterized. The record is from RefSeq and is a predicted model, not a curated record. Lineage: Eukaryota; Metazoa; Arthropoda; Insecta; Hemiptera; Cimicidae. The transcript has 4 exons.
CUUGUCUUAAGGUUUUGAGAAGUGGCGUGAUUUGCCGAAUGCCGAUUGGUGGAGGCGGGUGGUCGGUUAUUUGUCCAACUCCGGUGCGCGCGUUGCUCGGCUAACGGUUUUCGUGUCUUCUUCAAAAGUUCGAAGUGCGCGAUAUUUGUGAAUUAGCCGAACUCAGAGUACACAUUAGAGAAUCAACUGCAAUCAUCGAUCAACCAUAUCGAAAGAGUAUCUUCACAAGAGAGGGUGGCGAUGGGUUUGGCUGAGACUGUUCACGAAAUCUUUUGCCUUGGUCUUUAAUGGAGCAACACCUCCUCCAGGUUCUGUACUUUUUGAGAAAACUGCGGGGUGGAAUAGGACGACGAAGACACGUUUAUCCAUCACACCUUCGACACGCAUGGUCCUUUUGUUUCCACACGUUCUGUUCGUCGGCCCGGGCUUCCUUUCUGCAAACAUCGAGAUCUUUUUGUAAUUUUGGCCGUGACGGCCUUGUUAUAACGAGGGGGAUCGCUUUCAUCGAGAUAAAUCCUAAGACAAAAGCCGUUCAUCCCUCGUUAAACGAUAACGUCCUAAGUCUAUUUCUCAAUGGCGUGAAAUUUAACGCAGCUGUCGGAGUUUUGAUUGUAUUCUUAAUCCGUUUUUUCCACGUCGACUUUCAGUUAUACUUUCAAGUAUUAACUUAUUUGUUUCAAAAUUGUAUUUGUAUUUUUUCCUUAAGUUUUCAAUGUCAAUCCGAUGUUCUAUACUGCAUUGCAUUCUCCAGGCAUUUUGAUGGCACU